Molecule: ribosomal RNA, 1161 nt
Filed under: Citrobacter freundii
Lineage: Bacteria; Pseudomonadati; Pseudomonadota; Gammaproteobacteria; Enterobacterales; Enterobacteriaceae
Description: partial 23S ribosomal RNA
Rfam family: Bacterial large subunit ribosomal RNA
Source: RNAcentral
CAGGUGGUCAGGUAGAGAAUACCAAGGCGCUUGAGAGAACUCGGGUGAAGGAACUAGGCAAAAUGGUGCCGUAACUUCGGGAGAAGGCACGCUGAUAUGUAGGUGAAGCGGUUUACCCGUGGAGCUGAAAUCAGUCGAAGAUACCAGCUGGCUGCAACUGUUUAUUAAAAACACAGCACUGUGCAAACACGAAAGUGGACGUAUACGGUGUGACGCCUGCCCGGUGCCGGAAGGUUAAUUGAUGGGGUUAUCCGUAAGGAGAAGCUCUUGAUCGAAGCCCCGGUAAACGGCGGCCGUAACUAUAACGGUCCUAAGGUAGCGAAAUUCCUUGUCGGGUAAGUUCCGACCUGCACGAAUGGCGUAAUGAUGGCCAGGCUGUCUCCACCCGAGACUCAGUGAAAUUGAACUCGCUGUGAAGAUGCAGUGUACCCGCGGCAAGACGGAAAGACCCCGUGAACCUUUACUAUAGCUUGACACUGAACACUGGUCCUUGAUGUGUAGGAUAGGUGGGAGGCUUUGAAGUGUGGACGCCAGUCUGCAUGGAGCCAUCCUUGAAAUACCACCCUUUAAUGGCUGGUGUUCUAACGUGGACCCGUAAUCCGGGUUGCGGACAGUGUCUGGUGGGUAGUUUGACUGGGGCGGUCUCCUCCUAAAGAGUAACGGAGGAGCACGAAGGUUAGCUAAUCCUGGUCGGACAUCAGGAGGUUAGUGCAAAGGCAUAAGCUAGCUUGACUGCGAGAGUGACGGCUCGAGCAGGUGCGAAAGCAGGUCUUAGUGAUCCGGUGGUUCUGAAUGGAAGGGCCAUCGCUCAACGGAUAAAAGGUACUCCGGGGAUAACAGGCUGAUACCGCCCAAGAGUUCAUAUCGACGGCGGUGUUUGGCACCUCGAUGUCGGCUCAUCACAUCCUGGGGCUGAAGUAGGUCCCAAGGGUAUGGCUGUUCGCCAUUUAAAGUGGUACGCGAGCUGGGUUUAGAACGUCGUGAGACAGUUCGGUCCCUAUCUGCCGUGGGCGCUGGAGAAUUGAGGGGGGCUGCUCCUAGUACGAGAGGACCGGAGUGGACGCAUCACUGGUGUUCGGGUUGUCAUGCCAAUGGCAUUGCCCGGUAGCUAAAUGCGGAAGAGAUAAGUGCUGAAAGCAUCUAAGCACGAAACUUGCCCCG